Molecule: RNA transcript, 7914 nt
Organism: Prionailurus viverrinus (fishing cat)
Lineage: Eukaryota; Metazoa; Chordata; Mammalia; Carnivora; Felidae
Gene: ICE1
Gene name: interactor of little elongation complex ELL subunit 1
Exons: 20
Source: RefSeq, a predicted model, not a curated record
GGGCCGCGCCGGGUCGCGUUUCUCUCUAGUGCCCGAGGCGGCUCCGGUUGGGAGAGCCCUUCGCCAGCUCCACGGGGACCUCUGUGCACGGAUGGACCCGCCCGGACCCGGCGGGAAGCGGCCUGGCAGGCGGCGGCCCCGGCGGCGUCAGCAGAGGGAGGACAGGGCCCGGGCCGCGGGUCCCUGAGGCGCGCGGGCCCACCGGGCCCGGCGUUGGCACCAUGAUGCCGGGCGAGACCCAUUCGGCGGCGCCCGGGACGGCGGCGGACCUCUCGCGGUGUCAGGGCUGCGCCUCCCUGCAGCAGAAUUUAAACGAGUAUGUUGAAGCAUUAAUUACCUUGAAGCAAAAAAUUAUUAAUACAGAUAAUUUAUUAACAGAAUAUCAGAAGAAAUGUGAUGAGCUGCAGUUUGCAAGAAGAGAGAACAGUACUCUGCAUCACCAAGUGGAACAGAUGCUUCAGAAAAUCUCUCCUCUGCAGAAAUGUCAGGAAGAGCUGGGAUCUUUAAAAGCAGAGCUAGAGGAGAAGAAGAGUUCUCUGAAGUUGUACCAGGACACUCAUCAGGAGUAUGCUCGUGUGAAAGAAGAAUGCUUGAAAACAGAUGCUCAGAAGAAGAAGCUAGAAGCCAAGGUGAAGAAGCUGGAAGAGGCUGCUGUUAAGCAAACUCAGGACUUCAAGCAACUGAGGACUGAGAAGAAGAUACUCGAGAAGGAAUUUAGGAAGACACAGGAACGGCUGGAUGAAUUCUCUAAACAGAAAACUGCAAAGGAGUUGAGACAUAUUGGAACACAAAUUUCAAGCGAUUCUUACGGAAGCAUAGAUAAAAGGAAAGUAAAGCUGCUUCUGAAGGAACUCUGGCUCUGUAUAAACACAACACACAGACUACCUGGUGAAGGCAGCAGGUGUGUCCCAGAAAAACCCGCCAAAGAAAACCCCCCCGCACCCAGAGACUCCCGGGACGCUGGCGCACCCCCUCCGGCAGGAGGCGGUCCCCUCAGAGCCGCAGCCGUGCAGACGUGCCUGACGGAACUGUCCAUGGAGAUAGAGGGCGACUUCUCUGCCUGUAAGAGUGUGGGAACAGAGGGGCCCGGUGCCGCUGCUCACCGUCCCGAACGCGUGUCUCCCGAGGGCCGGAAUCCUGAGGUCUCGCUGCACAGGAGUGAGCAGGACAGCGCUGACUUCUCUGAUCGUGAUCGCUUUUUUGAUGAAGAUCUCCAGGCUGCAGUCGACUUCUUCAGACUUCCCCCUCCUCUUUUGUCUCCGGUGCCGUCCCCGCCUCUGGUGUCCUUACCACAUCUGAGCACGUUACCUUCUUCGCUCGCACCUGAAACCUACUUCGGAGAGUAUACGGAUUCCAGUGACGAUGAGUCGUCCCAACCUAGAAAUUCUGCCGCGUCUGUUUCAGAAGAUGAGACGUCUGAAUCACAUUACUUUGGCUCAUCCGGAAGAAGUGAUGGAAGGAGGGAUACGCGGGAGGAAAAGCUCACAUCGCACGAAGCCUCCAGAACUCUGACUGCGCUGGAAGUAAAUGGAGUGACAGCGGUUGGGUUUGGGACAGUCACAGCGGCCCUGAGAGAGCCUUCAGCCACACGUGCUUUAGCUCGCGAGCAACCCUGGGCAGUGUCCUCGGAAGCCACGAGUGACAGGGAAAGAGGCAUUUUAGAUGAGGCACAGAGACUGAGAGAGGGUCGCGAGGCAGACAAGUCGGUGCAGACAGAGAACACGCUCGAUGACACCGUAGGAAGCGUGUGUGGGGGGACGUCUGGCCGUCAGGCCCAGGACGGGGCGGCAGCCCUCUGGGGGGCUGACGUGCAUCACCCUCCCCUCGGCAGCAGACCAUUCAGUGACCUCGUGGAAUCUGAAGGAAAGACCCUGCUGUCUGAAAUGAUAGGAUCGCCCAAACCACAGUUUACUGCGUGGACACUGACAAACGAAAUCCCUUUUGAAUCGGAUCAUGUAUCCAUUUCUGACCACUUUCAGGGAAUGUGUAGAGUGUUGGGAAAAGACAGAGAUGUUCGGAGGUUCAUUUUAGGAACCUCGCCUGAACCAGCAGACGCAGGUCACACAGUGGGCACCACGGGGCUCGGUGUUGACGCCAGGCUUUCUUCCUCUCCUACCUCGGGGGCAUCGUCUGUGUGCAGUGACUCCCAGCCUUGCUCUGAUGCACACCUUCCUCCUGACUCUGCCCCCACUGAGCUGCAGCGCUCAGAACAGAAGCUACGAGCUGAGGCCUUCACCUUGCUGGACCUGCAACCCGAGCCCCCAGAGUGUCCUGCCGGAGAGAACCAUCUGGAAGAUAGCUUGUAUGCUUUGAGCGCCGAGUUGGGAGCAUCACAUUUUAAUAACCUAAGUGGCAGUGAGGUCGAGGGCACAGACGUUGGGAAAGGCAGGCCCAGAGUCUGUUCACUUCCGCAUUCGGAGUUCAUAAAAGCUGCGAAAGAGGCUCAGUGUCGAAGUCAGGGUCCGAGAACUGAGCCCUCCCUGACCAGGGCGGAUUCCACGCCGUUGGUGGAGUCUCAGUGCGGCUUGACCAAGAGUGGGUUUGGCUUCGUGAAAAGCCCUUCCUGGCACCAGAGUGACCUGUUAAGGAGAGGUAGUGAGGAAAGGCUGAGAGCUAAAUCAGAACACGAACACAAGACUGACCAUCAGUUACAAAAGGCAGUGCCAGCCUUAGAAAACAGGGGACCCGCGUCCAGGCCUGAACUUGCCAGAGAAAAUAACCCCGCGGGGCUCAGGGCCGCUCCGUCACUGUUGCCUAACCAAGUUUCGGUGAUCACCAAGCAGGCCAGACCCGAAACGGCACACGGGGCUAGGUCAGAGCACUGGGGGCCGCAGAGGACUGAGCCUGCCUUCGCGACGGCGUCUGGAGCGGGACGUGGUGGAGAGAGAGAGGACCCGGCCUGGAAUGUGCCGGGGGCGGCUGCUACGGGGGGGACCUCGCCACAAGUUUCUGCCUCAAGGAGAAAGUUAGAUUUCAAUUUUCCAAGCGGUUCUGUACCUGUAGAAAACCCUCACUGUUCCACGAGUAGCAAACUGUCUUUCUCUUGUGAAAAGAUCCCAGUCCCGAACCAGGAUGUCCUGACGGGAGCCCCGGCACAGGAGGCAGUGCAGGAGCAAGGUCUGCUCCUCCGCGCCCCGAGUCUGGACUCGUCCGGGCUGCCUGUGGAUGGACGCCUUCCGGCCACGCCGGCACCCGUGUCGAGAAGCUUUCCUGGUGCAGGAGCACCGUGUGGGGGCUCGGGCAGAUCUGGCAGGGGGGCCCUGGCCGUGUCCGAGGACCCUCCUGGCGGGCGGCAGAGCCUGAGGGGGUCUCUGGAGCUGCUGUCGCCGACCCCAGGCGGCGCUUCUCCCGGAGACCCAGGCACCUCUGGGACGGCGCUCCCGUCGGCGGGUCUCGGGAAAGAUGAAGAGACGCGCGGCGUCCCUCCGGGUGCCCUGGCCGCGGCCCCGUGUUGUUACACGGGCAUCCGGGAGGCGGGAGGCGGCGACACGGAGGUGGAAGAGAGCGAGGCACCCAGCUGCAGCGAGGGCGAGAGUGAGCCCGAGGCCGUGACGGGGGCCGCCCAGCACGGGGCCGCCAGCGCCUCCGGGGAAGGUGGGGGAGCCCUGGGGGCCAGCGCAGCCGAGAGCAGGCCCUCCGUGGAGGUGGGGUGUCUGACCUCGGCCCUGCAGGACUUCAACAUCAGUACUCUCUCAGAGAUAGACGGACUUUCUACGUCCGAGGUCGUCAUGUUUCUCGAAAGUUGUCAGUUAAGAGAUUAUAGUUCUGGGGACUCUGUUUCAGAAUGUUCUAGCAAAGGAACCCUGAGUAAGGACAUGAGCAAAGAGUUAAAGCCAGGUGAGCCAUCAGGAGAAAAGUACAGGAAGCAGCUGUGUGAAGAAGAAGCGCUCGAGACCCCGGAAGAGUGGCUCGAGUCCGAGGAGGAGGACGGGCCCCUGCGGGGCACACGGCGGCUCUCUCGGCGCUCUCUGGAAACGCUGUCCGAGGUCCUCACCAAGAUCGGACAGGAGCUUCAGGCCAGCUGCGAGGGCCCCGCCGGAGAGGAUGCUGCCGAUUUCGUGCUCUUCAACGUGCACGACGCCGUGACUGCCGGGCCCGUCCGAGAGCACGGCCCACCUCGGGAAGCGGGGGACCCCUCGCCACUGCCCACGGGUUCGCCCCCUCCAGCAGCCGGCCUGGCCGGCGAGGGCGGCUCUCCGGGCAGCGGUCCCACGGGGAACGGAAGCGCCCUCAGCGGACCCGAGGCAGCUUCCCACGUCACCAGCCCGAACCGUGGUGGGGAGGAGGGCCUGUCAGAAGCGGCGGAGCCCUCAGCCCUGGACGCCGACUCGGGAGCGGGGCAGACGGCGGAGCGCGGUGCCGAAGGGGAGGCGGAAACGACAUUCCAGUGCCAGAUCUCUACAGUGACCUCCGAGGUCAUCAAUGUGCUGAUCAACAAGGAUCAGAAUCUAGUCAUUGAAAAGGGGGACCACUGGACCAUCAUCAACGGGGUGGCUCUCAUGCCAAACGUGGACCAGGUUAUACUGUGCGACACUCCCGAGGACAUCGCUGUCUCCCCGGAGCCGGGAGGCCCGGGAGCCGGUUUCAUCUCCGUCACUGCUGUGGACAAGUCUCCAGAGACCGGUCACCCUGGCCUUGCGUUUCCGGAGCCCCAGGGCGGCAGCCUCCCGGGUGCCCAGGAAGAAAUCUCCAGCAGUAGUCAGAGCACCAACUUCGAUAAAAGUCGCUUGCGCAACAGGCCGGUCAAACCUAGUGUGAGGCUUAGCUCCGAAAUCUACGACCAGAACUUCGAGUCUCAGGUAGUUGCGUCCGAUCACACGUAUUUUAACUCAAAACUGGAGCCGUUUGGCAAGAAUAAGAAUCGAUCCAAGGUGACCAACAAAGAUCAGUCAAACAAGCCAGCAAAGACCUCGGCGUCAAGCAGAGUUGAAGCUAAUCAGAGUGAAGGCUCCCAGUCAUUUUUAGGGGAAAGAGAGAACACAAAAACCCAGAGAAAUCAAACUCAGACCAUCCUAGCCAAUGCGGACACGUCGACCCCCACGGACUGUUCUGACACCCUGAGUAAAAUACGGCAGGAGGUGGGGCCCCCUCUGCCACCCUUGCUUGCUCCUUUGGUUGCCACCCCCCCACGGACUUCCCGGCCGGUGUCUCCUCUGAUAGCCGCUUCCACUCCCUCCUCCCCUGCCUCUCCCAUCGGCCCCAUUUCUCCCUUGUGUGAAAUCCCGGUGCCUCCUGCGAUGUCUCCUUUGCCGGAAGAGCCCGGAUGCCCCUCGCCCCCGCACACGUCCCCGUCCCCAUCCACCGCAGCAGCCGGCGAGAGGAUCCUGUCGUCUCCCCUGCAGUUCUGUGCUGCGACGCCAAAGCAUGCCCUCCCUGUGCCGGGCCGCCUCCCCCCCUUUGCUUCCGCCCACGCGGCUGUGGCCGGACCCCAGGAGAAUUCCGUCAAAAUCCUUGACAGCAUGUACCCGGAGUUGUCUGCCAGGGCCCGCACCCUCAACAUCCUCAAAGGGAACAUUCAGCUCGCCCGGGGCCCACCUGCUGACUGUAAGAACUUAGCAGGGCCCGUCGGUGCCAUCACAGGAUUCAAAGCAAUCACGUCAACAUCAACAGCCUUUGUGAAAACAGGGGGCAGCUCUGGGAGUGACUGCAGUCAGGAUAAGUCCAAAGAUACGGGGACUCACCAGGACUCAGGUGGGAAAAGGACGUUGUCUGCAUCUACGCUGAGGAGCGCUAAGAGACUGCGGCUGGACAGCGGGUCCCCAGAACCAGAACCCGGGAGCACUGCCGCAGAAGGAGUCCACAAGACCCUCCGGAGGAGCCUCCCUCAGGCUGAAGGCGUGGCGACAGAGGAGGAGAGAAGCGCUCUUCCGACCGUCAGUACAGCCUCACAGUUGCCUCCAAACCCGAAAGAAACCGUAGAGUCCCACGACAAAGCCAUAGCUGACGCGCUGAAGAAGAUUGCAGAGUCGUCUUUUGAUCUCCUGCCUGUCAUUCGGAGUCACGUGUACGUGGGAAAUAUCUCCAAAAAGCCCGUAAUGAGAGAUCAAGAGAAGGAAGUUGUUCACGAAUUCAGCACAACCAAAAAGCAUCUAGCAGAGUGCUUGCUUCACUCCAUCCUCUCAGAACUGAAGAUUCAGAAGAUCUCCCUGGAGCGCAAUUACAUUCACGCCCUCUGCAGGGUGUACGUGGGCAUAUGCCGGCAACUGGGAGACUUGGAGCGAGCCCGCCUGUUUUGCUACAGUCUACUGAAGGAAGAUUUUCCGGAAUCAGAAAAACUGACUUUGUUCAUUGCAAACAUGUGGCAUGAUAUAUUUAUUUCCCAGUCGGUGAUUAAUAAAGCAAUGCAGCUGGUUGCCAGGCAGCGUGCGAAAGGAGAGGUUCGGAACUGUCUGAGAGCGUUCCUCAACUGGGAAAAGAAUGCUCCUGUGGAUGUGGGUUUCAUGGUUUCUAAGCUGCUUUUGACCAUACAGCUGUGUCCAAAAACAGAAUUCCAGUCCAGUGAAAAAUUUGGUGAGGAUCUGAGUGAUAACACUUGGGAAUACAUAUUUGCCAUCGACCUGCUGUGUUGCCACCAGAAGUGGAUUUGGACACACGACAACAUUAUAAGUAAAGAGCUGUGGCCCGUCAUGGAUAAGUGGAUAAAAUACCGAAAAGGACAUGCAAACAUUGCAUAUACUCCCGACAUUAUUAUAGCAUCAAUUCUGAGGCUGAUUGAAGGCUCUCCUUACUCGGAACUGACUUCUCUGUCUGCAGCAUGUAGCAUUGCCCCCCGACACACAACAAACAAGGUUCGUCUGAUAACCUGCACUGUAGCCCCUCAGAUCCUUGAAGGUACUUCCUGCGACUUUCAAGUAUCUCUAGAGUUGAAUUAUUUAGAACUUGAAGACAGUACCGCUCAAAAGAAGGUUUGAGAGUAUUAUUUACGUUGUCUAAGUAAGUCUUCUACUUAGAGCUGUCUGUGGCUGCUUUUGUUACCGUCUCAGCAAGAAGGUAUUCCUGCUCUGUAUCUGCUUCACAUGCAAACCUAAGAACCUUGCGCUAAAUAAAUGUGUAAAAUGGUUCAAGACGGCAACCUGCUUUCAAGGAAGACUCUAAUUUCACUGGAAAGGACAGAAAAUACACUUGGAGUGAAGUGUGCGAGCCCGGAGUGAUUGCCCGCGACCGUGGAGGAAGAGAGCCACCUGCAGAGAUGAAUAAGGCGUGGGUGGUGGAGGGGGCGAGCGGCUCCGUGGGCACCGCCGCCACACGGGCCCUGCAGAGCCCCUCCCUGCAGGCCCCCGGGACAGUCCGCGACAGCAGGAAGCAGGAAAGACACGAGGGCCAGGGGGCGGCAGACGGGCCGUGUGUGUGUCUGCACAUUCUCCUUUCGGCAGCAUCUUCUCUUACCGAUGUUCGUAGUUUGAACUGAUUUAUUUUAAACCGAGAAACCUUCUUGAAGAAAAAAUUAGGAAAAGAUGUUAAGUCUAUAAAUACAUAUAUCAACCUCCAUAAAGUAUCUUUGGAUUUCGAAACGAACACGAAACUUUUUGAAGUCACGCUUACAAAAUACUGUGUGAUUUUUGCCGCUGUUGUUGCAGGAGGUUGUCCAUUUACACACUUGUUGGUUGUGACGGGAGAGGAAGCGGGCGUGGGAGAGCGGAGGGCUGCGCUUCUGGUGGCUUCCGUGCGAUCCUCGUGCACCUGUGGUGGACGGUCGGCCCCACACGUGCUUCGCCCCUGAAGCUGGCUCUCCGGAGUCCGUGCCUUCCACCUUUGGCCGGUCGUCCAGAUGCCCGGAGAAGCUUCUUAAAGAAUGUCGGUUGGGCCAGUUGGGCUUGAAGGAAGGGUUCCCGUCUGCUGUGAAAAGCAUCAGCUCCGUCAUCGGCAUGUUUAUUCAGCAUGCCCAGGACGAAGAUAUACCGUGGGGCAUACAGC